RNAcentral lists this ribosomal RNA (497 nucleotides) under uncultured bacterium. Its description in RNAcentral is "partial 16S ribosomal RNA". It matches the Rfam family "Bacterial small subunit ribosomal RNA", at positions 28 to 507 of the family's 1533-position model. The record is from RNAcentral.
GAUGAACGCUGGCGGCGUGCCUAAUACAUGCAAGUCGAGCGAACAGACGAGGAGCUUGCUCCUCUGACGUUAGCGGCGGACGGGUGAGUAACACGUGGAUAACCUACCUAUAAGACUGGGAUAACUUCGGGAAACCGGAUCUAAUACCGGAUAAUAUAUUGAACCGCAUGGUUCAAUAGUGAAAGACGGUUUUGCUGUCACUUAUAGAUGGAUCCGCGCCGCAUUAGCUAGUUGGUAAGGUAACGGCUUACCAAGGCAACGAUGCGUAGCCGACCUGAGAGGGUGAUCGGCCACACUGGAACUGAGACACGGUCCAGACUCCUACGGGAGGCAGCAGUAGGGAAUCUUCCGCAAUGGGCGAAAGCCUGACGGAGCAACGCCGCGUGAGUGAUGAAGGUCUUCGGAUCGUAAAACUCUGUUAUUAGGGAAGAACAAAUGUGUAAGUAACUAUGCACGUCUUGACGGUACCUAAUCAAAAAGCCACGGCUAACUACGUG